UGCAGCUUGCAGACAAGUACCUCAGUGAGGCUGCACUGGGUGAAGCCAACGACGACGCCAUGAAGACCGGGUCCUUCUACGCCAAGGCCACUUGAUUCUAGUAAUUAAGAAUGCCGUCACUAUAUAUGCAUGUUUGGAAAAUUCCGUACCUUUUUUGAUUCAUCGCCGCACAGGUAAACGAUUUGAAUUGUAAGUUUCUGAAUACAAAGAAAUGGAAUUGUAUAUGUGAAUUACUUGUUGGAACAUUAUCAUAUAUCUGGAAAUCCUCUGAGGCUUUCUUGAUUAGGUACCGUGGGGGUCAUAUAAUUGGACAGAGAUUGUGAUGCAAACGGCUGGAUUAUUGUUUCAAGAAGAAAGAUCAAUGGUCUAUACUAAACCCAAAAAUCAAUUAAUGAGACUUCCAGGGAAAUUGAUCUUGGCAGCUCAUACAUCAAAGCAUUGCAGAAAUGACAUGCUUAGCUGUUUUUUCUCAAAAAAGUACAGACAUGGCUACCUUAAUUUUAUCUUUUCCAUACUGAUGUUUUACCAAAGAUGCAAUGUAUGGAUGUCAUGCAAGUUCUUUUAUUUUUGCGGUAAUAAUGCGAAGUAUGAAGCACAAACGUACAACACCCAUGUGCCUUGAUGUCAACAGGGGCCGACUUAACUUGUGUGGUACCAAUUGACAGCCCUAGCUUGAUGGUUAUCAACAAACCAGCAAAUAUAAGCCAGCAACAUAUUUUGUGGUACUCGAACUAGGAUCCAAUCUCGGGUGCCUCAUCCAACAAGCAACAUAAGAGUUCAUUUUUGUGUGGUUAUGGAAUAGAAGACCCCAGCUUUCGGCUAGCUGAUGAUCAACAAGACACACUAUCUAUACACCGUGAGUCCGGGUGAAAAGAAACAAAAAUGAAAGGCAAGGAAAGAAGAAAGGAUUCUGAUCAGAGAAUGGCUAGAUCCUGUGGCUGUGGAAUGUUAUAGGAUUCGAGCCAGGAGAUAUCAUAUAGCUGAGCUGCAAGCUGCAGCGUUUGGUCUUCACAGUCCAAGUCAUCCAAACCAGCGGGGGCCAAGAUGCACCCGGCCAGAACCCAAUCUCCAGUGUGUGGCCUGUGGGGGAUCAAGAAGCUGAUCCACAAGCACGGGUGUGUGUGUGCCACCUCCCAGCAGCCUCCCACAGCAACAAGAUGGAUAUCCACGUGUAUUUAAGGCAUCUCAUACCUCUGCCUCUAUACUUUGAGCAGCAGCAGCCAUUACUUGAUCAUCUGAAAAAUCUUAAUCCAGAUCAGACCAAGCAGAGCAGAGAUGUCUGCUACCUUCUCGUCCACCGUCGGAGCUCCGGUGCGUACCACACAUCGAUUCAUCGGUCCACAGCUAUCUUUUCUUAAUGGUAUCAUGUCUUCAAUGGCGUCUUGUGUUGUGUCUACAGGCUUCUACGCCAACCAGCUUCCUUGGGAAGAAGCUCAAGAAGCAGGUGACCUCGGCCGUGAACUACCAUGGCAAGAGCACCAAGGCCAACAGAUUCACAGUCAUGGCCAAGGAGGUGGACGAGUCAAAGCAGACUGACCAGGACAGGUGGAAGGGCCUCGCCUACGAUAUCUCCGACGACCAGCAGGACAUCACCAGGGGGAAGGGUAUCGUCGACUCGCUCUUCCAGGCGCCCAUGGGCGACGGUACCCACGUGGCCGUCCUCAGCUCCCAAGAGUACAUCAGCCAGGGCCUAAGGAAGUACGACUUCGACAACACCAUGGGAGGCUUCUACAUCGCCCCAGCCUUCAUGGACAAGCUCGUCGUCCACCUCUCCAAGAACUUCAUGACCCUGCCCAACAUCAAGGUACGCAGCCAGCACAUGAUCAAUUCAUGACUAUUUAAUUUAAUUUAUUAGCAGUAAUACAAUUGAACAAAGCUGUUUGUGAAGCUUUACUGUAAUUUGGGUGCUAACGAAUCGAAAAUUCAGGUGCCACUCAUCUUGGGUAUCUGGGGAGGCAAGGGUCAAGGAAAAUCCUUCCAAUGUGAGCUUGUCUUCGCCAAGAUGGGCAUCAAGUAAGAACUGUUUGAAGUUACUUUCAUCUAUUGUUAAUUGCCAGCAACACAAAUAUCAUGUCUGCACCCGAAUUAAGCAAGUAGUAACAGAUGAUGAUGUGUGCUUGCUACAGCCCAAUCAUGAUGAGUGCCGGAGAGCUGGAGAGCGGAAACGCCGGAGAGCCAGCCAAGCUGAUCAGGCAGCGGUACCGUGAGGCCGCAGACUUGAUCAAGAAGGGUAAGAUGUGCUGCCUCUUCAUCAACGAUCUCGACGCUGGUGCGGGUCGGAUGGGCGGGACCACCCAGUACACUGUCAACAACCAGAUGGUUAACGCCACCCUGAUGAACAUCGCGGAUGCCCCCACCAACGUGCAGCUCCCUGGGAUGUACAACAAGGAGGAAAACCCCCGUGUGCCCAUCAUCGUCACUGGUAACGAUUUCUCCACGCUCUACGCGCCACUCAUCCGUGACGGUCGUAUGGAGAAGUUCUACUGGGCCCCCACCCGCGAAGACCGUAUCGGUGUAUGCAGGGGUAUCUUCCAAACUGACAACAUCAGCGACGAGUCCGUCAUCAAGAUCGUAGACACCUUCCCAGGCCAAUCCAUCGGUACGUUCCCUGCACUCCACCGAUAAUAGUAUGCAUACAUCAAUGCAAGAGUAGUAAUUAACAAAGGAAAUGCUGAUCCCAAAACAGACUUUUUCGGAGCGCUGCGUGCCCGGGUGUACGACGAUGAGGUGCGCAAGUGGGUCAGCUCAACCGGAAUAGAGAACAUCGGCAAGAAGCUGGUGAACUCGAAGGAUGGACCGGUGUCCUUUGAGCAGCCAAAGAUGACAAUCGAGAAGCUCCUGGAGUACGGCCACAUGCUCGUCCAAGAGCAGGACAAUGUCAAGCGUGUGCAGCUUGCUGACAAGUACAUGAGCGAGGCUGCUCUGGGAGAUGCUAACUCAGAUGCCAUGAAGACUGGUUCCUUCUACGGUUAGAACACUCUUCAUACACACACCAUCUCUAGCUGCAUAGGAGGAGGUGAACUACAAUCUUUUUUUUUCUAUUUUCAGUAUCUACUUUACAUAUACUUCAAACUUGUGUACUUCCAAAAUAAAAGGGAGUGAAUUAUAAGCGACAGCGAGAAAUUAUUCUUACCUGUUCUUCUGGCACAUCAAGCUGAUCUUCUCAUUGCAUUGUGCAAAACAACUAAAUUUCAGGUAAAGGAGCACAACAAGGUAAUUUGCCCGUCCCAGAAGGUUGCACUGACCGGAAUGCCGAGAAC
RNAcentral lists this long non-coding RNA (3260 nucleotides) under Brachypodium distachyon (stiff brome). RNAcentral's name for it is "long non-coding RNA (BDIS_LNC004271)". The record is from RNAcentral. Lineage: Eukaryota; Viridiplantae; Streptophyta; Magnoliopsida; Poales; Poaceae.